CUGACCUCUGGGAGCCCUUCUGGCCCCACAGUCUGGGGCACUGUGUUCCCAGCUCCUGCUGCAUGUCGGGCUGACGACCUACUCAUGCUUAGGAUGCCUCUUAAGGUGGGCCAGCCUCUGCCCAGCGGUGGGCCUCCUGAAAGGCUCUGGAGGUCAGGGUGACAAGACAUUUCAAGACUGUUCAUGGUCAGACCCUUCCAGCUCCUGGGGCCCCCAAGUCCCUCAGAACCACUGCUAAACGCCUGUUUGUCCUUGCAGUCUGGAGAGGUGGGAGGAGCUUCCCCUUUCUCCGUAGGUGGGCGAGCAAGAACGAAGCGGGGCUGGCCCGGAAGCAUCAGAGGCAGAGAGAACCUUGGCUCCAGACUCCAAGGAGCUCAGUAAGCUGGAAGUCGGCCUCCAGCAGGCCAAGAAGGAGUUAAUAAUCUCCAAGGAGAACGAGGGCUACUCCCAGACUGGAGGCCUGUGCCCAGUUCUACUGCUGCCAACCCCGGGAAGAAGUCCUGGGAUCUGUAGUUUGUGUCACCACCCACCCGUGGCCUGCCUGUUCAUCAACACAGUCCUGGGGACUACAGUUCCCAGAAACCUGCAGAGGCCAGGCUUUGGGGGAAGGGGUGGGGUGUGAGGCUCGGUGGCAGCAGGAGGGAGAGGGAGGAGGUGGGGAGAGAAAACCCAAUUCACCCCCUUCCUUUUUAAUUCUUUCUCCUGGUGUGUCUGCUCCACCGCCCGAGCUAAUCCCCCAAAUCCGGUCUCCUAAGCCGCAGCUGCUUCCCUUCGCAGUGAUGAAUGGCUCGGGGAGGGAAGUUCCAGGUGUCAAGGUUACGGCUGUGCUGGAUGCAGGCCCACAAAGUCCCGGCCUUGGGAUCACUGGACUCUGUGACCUAAAGGGGCGAAUGGAAACCCCCACCCCUAACCUGGAUCUCUGGUGAGCACCCCCCAAGCCUGGCCUAGGGCAUGCCCCAGUUCACUUUCGCCUGCUUCUGUGGCCUCCACGGCUUCUGCAAGAUGAAGAGGAAGAAGGAGGAAGUUCACAGAGAGCGGGAAACGGCAGUGUGAGCAGGACCCGGGCCCGUCUCCGGCCUCCUCCUCCUCCGGCAGGUGCCAGGCCUGAGGGCACCCACUUCUGGCAGGACCUGCCCGGCCCUCCAGAGACCGAGAAGCCCCGGGGCAGCCCCGCGAGUGAAACUGCUUUUGGGCCCCCGAGGGCUGCAGCUCAGGGUAACGCUCAGGGUAACGCCUCGGCGGAGGGACGCGCCACCUUGGGCGAGGAGCGCUGCUCCCGGAUCGGACACAGGCCACGCUGCCAGACGACCUCCCAGCAGCCUGGGCAGGGCACAGGUGUAAGAU
RNAcentral lists this long non-coding RNA (1344 nucleotides) under Ursus thibetanus thibetanus. RNAcentral's name for it is "lncRNA (ENSUTTG00000006766.1)". Lineage: Eukaryota; Metazoa; Chordata; Mammalia; Carnivora; Ursidae. The record is from RNAcentral.